GGCGCAGUCGGAUCCUGCGCUGCCACGGUUGCGGGUGUGCGGGGCGUAGGAGGACUUCCCGAGGGCGCGGAGCGGGGCCGCGAGAUGGCCUCUGUGGUCUUUGAGGAUGUGGCUGUGAACUUCACCCCGGAAGAGUCGGCUUUGCUGGAUUGACGUCAGAGGAAGCUCUACAGAGAUGUGAUGCUGGAGACCUGCAGGAACCUGUCCUCCGUGGAAGUCUUUUGGUGGAGAGUGUCUGUGAACGUUCUGAAUGAAGGAGAUCAACGUAGAGAAACCCUGAACCCGAUUACAAGUCUUACUGUGCAUGAGGGGUGUCCUACUGCAGGCAAAUCAUGCACUAAGUGUAGAGAAGCCUUCGCAGAUGGUUCCUUCCUAGAGAAGACGUGAACAUCUCACCCAGGGCUCAAACGUAGUCCCUGUGAGGAAUGUGGGCUGGGCUGUAGCUCCGUCUCGAGCCUCAGCACUCACGUGGAUGUAGACCUUGUAGAGAGAUCCUAUGAAGGUCAGGAUGCUGGGAGAGCGUCUGACACAAACGCGAAGUCUCAGUAGUGAAAAAUCUCUAGAGUGCAAGAAAUGUGGAAAAGCUUUCACUUGCGCGUCUUCCUUUUAGGGUCAUGUGUCAGUUCACUGCGGACAGAAAGUCCAUGAGUGUGACGUUUGUGGGAAAACCUUUAUGUAUCACUGCUACCUUACACGUUAUGUGAGAAGUCACACUGGGGAGAGACUCCUAUCAGUGUUAAGAGUGUGGGAGCGCCUUCAGGUAUAAGUCAAGCCUGAGAAAACAUGUGAGAACACACGCUCAGGAGAAACACUAUGAACGACCACACUGUGGGAAAGCCUUCAUUUGUCUCUCUUCCCUUCAGGGACACACGGGCAAGCACAGUGACGUGAAACCCUAUGAACUUCACCGUGGAAAAGCCUUCAGGUAUCCCAGGAAUCUUUGAGCACAGACAUGCGGUGGGAAAGCAUUUAUUCUCCCUUAAAAUCUUAUUUAUUUUUCUUCUUUUCUCUUAAAAUCUUAAUUAAAAUGUGAGCCAAUACAUUGGAGAUGAUCCUGAAUGCACACAAUUUUGGGCAAACUCCAGGUAUAGAACUUGAU
Long non-coding RNA from Lynx canadensis (Canada lynx), 1099 nucleotides. RefSeq lists it as uncharacterized. The transcript has 3 exons. NCBI's taxonomy places the organism in Eukaryota, Metazoa, Chordata, Mammalia, Carnivora, Felidae. The record is from RefSeq and is a predicted model, not a curated record.